This 86-nucleotide transfer RNA is filed under the name Patescibacteria group bacterium. RNAcentral's name for it is "tRNA-Leu". It matches the Rfam family "tRNA". Rfam says of the family: Transfer RNA (tRNA) molecules are approximately 80 nucleotides in length. Their secondary structure includes four short double-helical elements and three loops (D, anti-codon, and T loops). The record is from RNAcentral.
GCCACGAUGGCGGAAUGGUAUACGCGGCGGACUCAAAAUCCGCUUCCAGCGAUGGAUUGAGGGUUCGAGUCCCUCUCGUGGUACCA